RNAcentral lists this ribosomal RNA (501 nucleotides) under uncultured bacterium. Its description in RNAcentral is "partial 16S ribosomal RNA". It matches the Rfam family "Bacterial small subunit ribosomal RNA", at positions 30 to 523 of the family's 1533-position model. The record is from RNAcentral.
AUUGAACGCUGGCGGCAGGCUUAACACAUGCAAGUCGAGCGGGGGAAGGUAGCUUGCUACCGGACCUAGCGGCGGACGGGUGAGUAAUGCUUAGGAAUCUGCCUACUAGUGGGGGACAACAUCUCGAAAGGGAUGCUAAUACCGCAUACGUCCUACGGGAGAAAGCAGGGGAUCUUCGGACCUUGCGCUAAUAGAUGAGCCUAAGUCGGAUUAGCUAGUUGGUGGGGUAAAGGCCUACCAAGGCGACGAUCUGUAGCGGGUCUGAGAGGAUGAUCCGCAACACUGGGACGGAGACACGGCCCAGACUCCUACGGGAGGCAGCAGUGGGGAAGAUUGGACAAUGGGGGGAACCCUGAUCCAGCCAUGCCGCGUGUGUGAAGAAGGCCUUAUGGUUGUAAAGCACUUUAAGCGAGGAGGAGGCUACUUUAGUUAAUACCUAGAGAUAGUGGACGUUACUCGCAGAAUAAGCACCGGCUAACUCUGUGCCAGCCGCCGCCGUAA